This 33265-nucleotide long non-coding RNA is filed under the name Gossypium raimondii (Peruvian cotton). Its description in RNAcentral is "long non-coding RNA (GRAI_LNC003329)". Lineage: Eukaryota; Viridiplantae; Streptophyta; Magnoliopsida; Malvales; Malvaceae. The record is from RNAcentral.
AUUGAUCAGAUUCCUUUCAUCGAUACUCCACUUCACAUAGCAGCAAAUGAAGGCCAAAUUAAUUUUGCAAUGGAGAUGAUGAACUUGAAGCCUUCAUCUGCUCGGAAGCUGAACCAAGACGGGUUUAGCCCCAUGCGCUUGGCGUUCAGAAAUGGGCACCCCAAGCUAAUGCUUCGAGUACUGUUGAAAAUGGAUAAAGAUCUGGUUCGCGUCACAGUGGGGAACUCUAAACUUUUAUUCCAGUUCCUUGAAGCUUGCCCUGAAUGCAUGGAAGAUGUGACGGUUCGAAACGAGACUGCAUUACAUCUUGCUUCGAAAAACGACCACAUCGGAGCUUUGAAUCUCUUGAUUGGAUGGCUUCAAAGGAACUGUCGUGGAGGAGCCUUUUAUUUGUCAGAAAAGGUUGUGAAUUGGAGAGAUGGAUAUGACAACACCGUGUUGCACAUUACAGCUAAAAAGGAACAACAUGAGGUAUCUGCAAUGCAACUAUAUUAUCGUUUACUUUGCGGUUUGAAUUUCUUUUUGCUGCCGGUAUUUAUCUGAUUGUGAUAAGUCGGAUUCUAAAAUUCCUUUUGGUAGUAUUUGUAAGAGGAAUUUGGAUUUGAAUUUCUGUUUUAUAAAUUCAUUAUUUCUAAUUUUUUUUUGUUUAGAAAUUAAAAUAUUUGAUAUUUAAAUUUUUUGUUUAGAUGACUCAAAUUUAGAUCUGAGAUUCAACAACUUAAAUUUUUUUAAACUUCAUUAUUAAGGAGGAUUUUGAAUAAAAUUGUCUGAACCCGACCAGUUAGACCGGAAACUAAUCAAUGUAUUGAUCCAAAGAAAGACAUUAAGUCGAUUGAAUUGGACAAAAAACCCCUUGAUCAAGUGGUUAAAACAGACAUUUUUAUUUUACGAACCUUUAAUGAUUUAUUUAAUAAAACUGAACUGAUCGGUUGAACUAUCAAUUUGAUCAUUAGUUUUCAUAACAAAGUGGAAAAAGUAUUUUAUUCAUUCAAAAUCUAGGUUUUCAGAACCAAACUAUAGUGGUCAAACCUAUCAAACUGAUUGCUUUUUCCCACUUUGUUUCAUUAAAUCAAGGUUUUCAAAAUAAGUAGUUUGAUCGGUUUGACUAUUAAUUUGAUUAUGAAAACCUUGAUCUUGAAUGAAUAAAAUGAUUUUUCCACUUUGUUAGGAACAGUUUAGGCUAAAACUAAUUGAUUUUUGUAUAUUAUUUGAAAGAGGUUUUUUUUUUUUUUUUUCUGUUUUUAUAUAUUUUAUAAGUUUUUGGGUUAAAAUAUUAGAAAGGACUCUCAAUUUUAUUGUAUUAUUUAUACUUUGUUUACACUUAAAUAAAAUCAUAUAAUUUGAUUUGUACUUAAAUAAAUGGACUUAGAUGUAAAUUAAGAGUCGAGGGUUUAUAAAUUAAAAUCGUGAAAAUUAUGGUAUAAAUGAAAAUUUUAAAUAUUUGUACUGUAUUAAAUUAAAUGCAUUAAGCUUCGUCACUGUUUUCAAAAUUGGACUGGCUUGUCAAAUCGAUUGGAUCGUGAACCAACCGGGAUACCAAUCCAGAAUAAAGAGUCACACCAGUUGAACCGAUCGGAUCAGUCGAUCGGAUUAGUCAAACUGGUCGGAUAAAUCAACGAUCGAAUAGAUUGAACAAAUUUUCUCUAUUUUUUAAUAUUUUUAAUAAUUUAUUAAUUAAAUUGGUCGAAUCGAUUGAAACAGGAACCUGUGGUCUAACUGAUUCGCUCAUCAUUCUGGUUCUAAAAACCUUGAAUUUUGUUGAUGAUAUAUUUUAAGUAAAAUUAAUUAUUUAUUAUUUAGGUGUAAAGGUAGUGUCAAAGAAGAGGCUACAAAAAAAUUUGUUUUUUUAAUAAAUUUAAGUUUUAAAAAUUUCAAAUUUUAAAAUCCACAAAUUUAACUCGGAUUUGCACGAACUCAAAUCCAAUUUUUUUUUUUUGUUAUGAAAUUAGAUUUACGUUUCCAAAGAGUGGAUUUGAUAAUUGUAUUAAUUAUGCAGGCACUGAAGCUGUUGUUAUAUACCAAUGUUGGGUUACAUGUAACAGCUAAGAACUCGGAAGGUUUGAUGGCUCGAGAAAUCAUAGAAAAUGUUGAAAGAAAAGGCUUGAACAUGAGUGGUGAAGAUGAUGACACUGCCGACAAGAUUAAGCGCAUUAAGAAAAAACUUGAUACCCUAGAACUAAUAUUAAUAGUGUUAAUUCGUGCAAGGAAUGGAUUGUCGGAGAACAUGAUCAACGCAACGCUGGUGACUGUGGCACUGGUUAUAACAGCAGUCGACCAAUCAUCUUUCAGCCCACCCAGAGGUGUUUGGCAAGUUGAUAACAACAGUAUCCCCACCACCACCUCAAACGUUACUACUACUGCUCUUCAAAUCUUUGACGACAAUUACAAUAACUCCAGAUUCAAACACCUGUUGGGUCAAGAAUCAAGGAAAACAGGUACAACAAUCAUGAAUCCCGACUUGUAUUCAAUGUUUUGGGUUUGUAAUCUCCUGACAUUUGAGCUUCCGCUCCUCUCCAAUGUUCCUUCUUUUCUUCUCAUCCCGCUUUAUUAUCUAAGCGUCUCCUACUUUUACUCGAUGACACUAAUAUCCCCGUCGUCGUUCUGGGAAAACGUCAAUUAUAUUCUCACGUGGUUAGCCAUUCUUCUCCCACUUUGCUUACUUCGCUUAAUCAUACGACCACUUAUGACACCAGCUUACAAGGAGUACAUACGCUUACGUAGAGCUGUUACUAGAGCUAUUCUUAGAGCCAACAAUAGCGGGAUCAUCAAACCCUUGCUAAGGGGUAAUCUAGUUGAUAUUAUAAUAUUAUGUCCUUAGAUUUUUUUUAAUUGAACUUCAUUUUCUUUUUGUUUAUGUAAUUGCUUGGGAUAAAUUUAAUAAAUAAAAUUACUUUGGUUAAACUACAUCAAUAGUCUUUUAAUUUUGUUUAUAUUUAUGUUUAAUCACUUAAAUUUUAAAACUUAUAAAUUUAUUAUUAAUGUUAUCGGAUUGUUAUUAGGAUAACACAGGUUUGAUGUGAAACGUUAAAUAUGCCAUAUGUUUAAAAAAAUUUCCUUUCUCUCCUUUUUCGGAUAUUAAAAUAUUUCUUCUUUUCACCUUAUCCUCUCUUCCCCUUCUUCUUUCUCCACCAUUAAUGGUCUCACCAUCUUACUACUGCCAGUACUCACCACUAUCAACAAUUUCACCAUCUCACCACAACCAUACAUGAACCAACAACCGACUUUACCCAUAAUAAUACUCAUAAGGUGUUUUUCUCUUCCCUUUAUGAACAUAAUUGGUUCGAUUUUUUGGUUCAAAGAAGGUUCAAACAAUCAACACUCAAACAGUCAAUAGACUGUGGGAAAGAUAACGUGCAAAACCAACCUAACCUAUGAGUAUAUCCAGAAGAGAAAAAUUAUACAAGUCCAACCCCCCAAGAAGUUCCCAGUCGGCUCAUCCCAUUGACCUUUCCACACCUUCGAAUUGAUUGGUGCAAUUGGAAUUGCAUUGCCAAAUGUAAUACAUGAAGCUCAAGUGCUGACCAUCUACUAGAGGUGGACCAAGUAAAGACCAAUCCAGUGUUGAUUCUCCAAGGCCCUCGAAGAGCCACCAACGCUGACAUCGCCUCCAGACUUGAUUGUUAUUAUUAUAUUCUUUUCAAAUUAUUUUAGUUGUUGUUUAGCAUGGAUCGUGACUAAUUUUUAUUAUGUAAACAAGUUUCGAAAAUUUUAUAUAAUUGAGAGACUUGUAUGGAUGAUUAUAUUGAAUUUAGAGAGCAGUUAAAUUAUUCAAGUGAAAAACGUUAUUUUGUAAUAGUGCAUUUGAUUGUAAAAUCGUUUUGUUGUGAUUUUAUAGACUAAGUUCUCAGGUGAUAGAUCUAGUCUUCAAGGUACAAGAGUAACUAAGGAUUUUAAACCGGGAUGUGUUAGAAUUAUGUUCAAUGGUUGUAAUUGUUGAAAAAUAAUGGAUUCUUCUCACUGAAUUAGGCAUAGUAGGCAUAGAGAAAUUGAAUUGCAUCAACAACCUUGUUAUCCUCUAUUUUAAUUUUGGUAUCACAAUGCUUGCAGAAGUACCCACUUCUGCAAUCACUUUUGCUCGUAAUUGCGUAAAUAACAUUGUUAUCCUCUUAUUUUGCCAUUGUUUUUAUAAUUUAAAAACUUAUUUUUAUAACUUUAAAAUGUAAAUUUUAGGAUUUUAGAGCUUUUUGAUGUUUUUAGAUUUUUUAAAAAACUUUUUUAGAAUUAUUGUUUAAAAAAUUUUAAAAGUAUUAAAACAAUAAUUUUAGUUAUAGUUAAGGGGUCAAUUUUGUUAUUAACCCUUUGAAUUAGCGUGUCACAUUAUCCUCUUAACAGAAGUUAAAGGAUGGGUGACCAAAAUUUAACAAUUUAAUAACGUUAGUAACUAUGACAUAAAUUUUGAAAGUUAAGCGACUAAAAUAUAAUUUUAAAUUUUUUUAGGAAUUAUUGUUAAAUUGAAACCAGUAAGCAUCUAUUUUUAUUGUUUUCAGAAGAUAAGAAUAAAUGUGUGUCUUUAUAUUUGGUUUAUUGGCUAUAGGUAUUCACUCUUCACUCUCGUAAGUUUGAGUCGCAAGCGAUUUAUGUCAUAAGUUCCAACAAAAGAUAUAAAAUAAAUGAAAAAGUAUCAAACAAAUCAUAUAAAAACAUGUUUGUAAUUCAUAUAUAUUUUUCAUGAUUAAUUAUGUAUGUGUUUUUAAUUUAAAUUUUAUUAAGCCUUAUUCAUAUUUAUUUCGAUUAUUACUUUAUUCUAAUUAUAAGCGGAUGAAAGUGUAACCCUCUUAUACUUCUAAACCCCUAAGCAUGUUUUCAUUUAAGAAACCACCUUCCAUAAAUAAAAAGAAGAGAAGAAGAUGAAGAUUGAUUGGUUAUUGAGCCACUAAAAGAGGCGGCGGAGGAGGGGUCGCCUAAAAUUGGAAAUUUGUAUUUUUUUUAUAAUAAAAUGAUUCUCCUUUGAAUAUUCCAAGCUGUCCAUUAGUUUGAAUGGUAAAGUCUAUAUGAAGUAUGGAUAGUAAUGUCUAUGGAUAUUAUUCCAAAUCAUCAGCUUUAUCCACCAACAUAGUUGAGCUAUUGACACGUGUCUAUUUAUUUGCUUUUUUAGGUUUUUUAGGAAUUAUUGUUAAAUUGAAACCAGUAAGCAUCUAUUUUUAUUGUUUUCAGAAGAUGAAAAUAAAUGUGUGUCUUUAUAUUUGGUUUAUUGGCUAUGGGUACUCACUAUUCACUCUCGUAAGUUUGAGUCGCAAGCUUUGUACUUGAUUUAUGUCAUAAGUUCCAACAAAAGAUAUAAAAUAAAUGAAAAAGUAUGAAACAAAUCAUAUAAUUCAUAUAUAUUUUUCACGAUUCAUUAUGCAAGUGUUUUUAAUUUAAAUUUUAUUAACCCUUAUUCAUAUUUAUUCUAAUAUAGAGUUGAAUAUAUUUCGAUUAUUACUUUAUUUUAAUUAUAAGCGGAUGAAAGUGUAACCCUCUUAUACUUCUAAACCCCUAACCAUGUUUAAUUGAUAUGGUUUCAUUUAAGAAACCACCUUCCAUAAAUAGAUGAAGAUUGAUUGGUUAUUGAGCCACUAAAAGAGGCGGCGGAGGAGGGGUCGCCUAAAAUUGGAAAUUUGUAUUUUUCUUAUAAUAAAAUGAUUCUCCUUUGAAUAUUCCAAGCUGUCCAUUAGUUUGACUAGUAAAGUCUAUAUGAAGUAUGGAUAGUAAUGUCUAUGGAUAUUAUUCCAAAUCAUCAACUUUAUCCACCAACAUAGUUGAGCUAUUGACACGUGUCUAUUUAUUUGCUUAAAUCGAGCCAAUGGUUUUGGAAUACUUUCUAUGGGAAUGGGUAUAUCCUUUUUUUUGGGGUCAAAUAAAUCUGAAUUACUAUUUUGGUACAAAAUAAUUGAUAAAAAAUUUAUAAUUUAAAAAAAGAAAAGAAAAGAAGUAACAAAUGUUAUAAAUGUUCCAUAUCUUCAAUUAUUUACCUCAAAAUUUGUUUUAUGAUCAAUUUUUUUAAAAUUAAAUAAGAUUGAUUAAAAAUAUUCACCAUAUAAUUCAAAAUUUUAAACAUUUUAUUUUCAAACUCGUAUUCCUUAAUAAAUAAUAUAUUUUAAACUAUCUUGUUAAUACUAAUUUCUUGAUAAAUAUGUUUUUAAAUUAAUUACUUUUUUUCUAAGAUUAUCUUAAAAUUUUUAAAGUUUUAGUUGUUUGUUUUUGANNNNNNNNNNNNNNNNNNNNNNNNNNNNNNNNNNNNNNNNNNNNNNNNNNNNNNNNNNNNNNNNNNNNNNNNNNNNNNNNNNNNNNNNNNNNNNNNNNNNUUAAAUUCCACAAGCAAGAUUAAGGUUGCCUGUAAAAUAAAAAAAAUAUUUUUAAAAAGAGACAUUGACCAUUUUUAGGUUGCUUGUGAUGAAAAUGAAUCCCCACCGCCGUUUUUUUAAAUUAAGUGUAUAGUCGGUUUGUUGACUCCUAUUUUUUAGCAAGACUGUUAGACAAAUAAGUUUGUCUAAUCUUUAUGGGGUUAUUCUAUUUUCAUUAGUCUGUUAGUGGAGGAUCUUACUUCCACGAUUUAAUUGCAUAAUUGUUGAAGUUAACGAUAGUGAGUUGAUUUUGAUUAUCUUCCUCUCUUGUGUUAAGAAUUCCUUUAAAGUUUGUCAUCAAUGGUAUUAGAGCCAGGUUUAGCGUGUUUUGUAUUAUGUUCCAAAUACGAUGUCACAACAUCCGAGUGAUUACGAUAAAUUUGUUCAACCUGCUCUUCCUUGCUUUGAUGGUCAUUAUAAUCAUUAAUGGGGCAUGUUAAUAGAAAAUUUCUUAAGGUCAAAAGAAUAUUGGUCUGUUGUUGAGGAUGGAAUCCAAGAGCUAGAAGUUGGAACCAGUUUGACAGAUGCACGGAAGAUGGAGACUAAAUUCUUAGAAAUAACAAUAUAUGGACUAAUAUUUAAAUUUGUAAAAAGUACAAGGACUUAUGAUAUAUUUUAACAUUUUAUUAUGUUUAUACUAUAAUUUAAUUUGAAUAUUUGUUAAUGCCAAAAUGAUAAUAAUAACAUGACAUAAUAAUGAUAAUGAUGAUGAUGUGUGAAAAUAAAAAUACUUCACAUUUAAAUUGAUUAUAAUUUAAAUUUAUAUAUUUCGUAUAUCAUAAUAUUAAUGAAUUUGAGUUUAUAUAUUCUAUAUAUUAUAAUAUUAACAAAUUUGAGUUUUUUAGUAUUUCUUAUUCAUUUAGUUUUAAUUUUGGAAGUGAUAAUUUUGGAAGUGAUUUCAGUGAUGGUUUUGACCUCGUCCUCUCCAGUUUAGUGGAUAUUCGAUUCUUUUGCCGAUUUUAUCUACUACUUUAGAUCAUCCGAGAUUAAUUUUCUCAUAGUGUUAAAUGUUUGCAAUCACUCCAAAUAACCAUACUUGAGUUGUAAUGGAGACGAUUGCUAACUUGCUAUAUAUUAUCGAUUUUAUAGCAUAAUAUUUAAAAGUAAUUUUUUUCCGCCAUACUAAAAAUUUUAAAUAUUUUAAGAGUACAAUUUUUAAAAGCGAAGCUGGUCAACUUGCCCUAAAGCAAAUGGCGAAAAUGCGUCGAAAUUAUAUUGAAGUGAGAAAUGGGGAGUGGGAGUCAAGAUAUUGAUGUCUGUAAUAGGCGGCCAUCGAUUCAUAUCCGUCGUUAGAUAUAAAUAUAUUAAUCAUUUUUUAAAAUAUUCGAUAUUUUUAUGCAAUAUAAAUAUACCCUUGAGGGAUUAGUUUAGUGUCAGAUUGAGCUAAAUCAGUAAGGAUAGUCAUUUUGCAACUCUCCUAAUUUCUUCAUCAUUUAAAGAAGGAAACAAAAGCAUGGAUCCAAGCUUAUUGAGAGACAUAGCUGGAACAGGAGAUACUGAUGCCUUGUACGCUCUAAUUCGAAAGGAUCCGAACAUGUUGGAGCAUAUUGAUCAGAUUCCUUUCAUCGAUACUCCACUUCACAUAGCAGCAAAUGAAGGCCAAAUUAAGUUUGCAAUGGAGAUGAUAAACUUGAAGCCUUCGUUUGGUCGGAAGCUAAACCAAGACGGGUUUAGCCCCAUGCACUUGGCCUUCAAAAUGGGGCAUACCAAGCUAGUGCUUCGACUGUUGCAGACCGAUAAAGACCUGGUUCGCGUCAAAGGAAGGGAAGGGAUGACCCCUUUCCAUUGUGCAGCUGCAGCGGGGAACUCUAAUCUUUUAUUCCAGUUCCUUGAAACUUGCCCUGAAUGCGUUGAGGAUGUCACGGUUCGCAACGAGACUGCAUUACAUCUUGCUCUGAAAAACGACCACACCGACGCUUUUAAUUUCUUACUUGGAUGGCUUCGAAAGAACCGUCGUGGAGGAGGCAAGGAUUUGGAAAGAAAGGUUAUGAAUUGGAGAGAUGAUGAUGACAACACUGCGUUGCACAUUGCAGCUACAAAGCAACAACACCAGGUAUAGAUGCAUUAUAAUGAUAAGUUGCGUAUAUUCCUUUGAUAAUCUUACUAAUGACUGUUUAUAAUAUUCUACGCAGGCAGUACAACUGUUGUUGGAUUCCUUUUAUGGGUUAGAUGUAAAAGCUAAGAACUCGGAAGGCUUGACAGCUCGAGAAAUCAUAGAAAAAGUUGGAAGACAAGGGUUGAACAUGAGUAGCGCCGAAGACGAUGAUAAGACCACCGCCAAGAUUAAGCGCAUUAAGAAAAGAACUAGUCGGUCUGAAAGAGCAUUAGUAAGGUUGAUUCGUACAAAGAAUGGGUUGUCGGAGAACAUGAUCAACGCAACACUGGUGGUAGCGGCGCUGGUCAUAACAGCGAUCUACCAAUCAUCUUUAAGCCCACCGAGAGGUCUUUGGCAAGGUGAUAACACGAGUAACCCCACCACCACCUCAAACCUUACUACUACCACUAAAUUUGGACGCUUUAACGACAUAUACGAUGAAAAACGUUCUAAACAUGUGUUGGGUGAUGAAACAAUGAAACCUGGUACAGCAAUCAUGAAUCCCAACUUGUUUAUGUGGUUUUGGUUAGUCAAUUUUAUAGCAUUUGGGCUUCCGGUUCUUCUAACCGUUUUCCUUCUAUACGAUGUAGCUCAUAUUCUUCUUAUCCCGCUUUAUUUUCUAUCCGUCUCCUACUUUCACUGCAUGACAAUAAUAUCUCCGUCCAUGUUUUGGGCAAACCUCAACUUUGUUGUCAUGUGGACAGCCAUUAUUCUCCCGUCUGUCUUAGGUUUUGGAGGCGUAUGGUUAUGGAAGCGGCUAAAGUACCGGGAAAUGACACAAAUACGCAAACGUGUCCGCAAUGACAAAUAAUAUCGGAAUAAUUCAAUACUUGCGAAUGUCAGUCUAAUUCAUAUAUUAUAUUACGUACUCUUUUCCAUUUUCUCUGUAUUAAUAUCUUUUGUUUUUGAGAAAAAACAAAACACUAUGUAAUCGCUUUGGAUAAAUUUAAUAGGAAUAAAAUUACUUUUCCCGACCGAUAUAUUUGAAGUAUCGUUUGUUCAAAAUCAACUGAUUUCUAAAUGUGUUAAUAAUAUUUUCAAGUUAUUAAUUAAAAAUAUCUUUAACAUAAAGAUAUAUAUGUAAUAUAUAUUUAUUAUAUUAUUACAUAUUUAUUAUUUUGUUUAUAUAAUAAAAGAGUUAUAUAUUGAUUAAAAAGAUGAAUUAAAAAACUAGAAAUUAAUAUAUUUAUUAAUUAAAAAUUAACAUGAAAUAAAAAUACAAAUAUGAGUAGGAGAUGAAUUAAAACCGAGACUCAAAAAUAAAAUUACUAACAUUUAAUUAUUUGACCAAAUAAAUUAAUGUGCCAAGUUAUUAAAGAAAACACAUUUUAUCCUACAAGACACAUUUUACAUUUCUGUCUCCAAUAUUCCUAUAAAUAUUAAAAAAAUCCACUAAAAAGGACAUAUAUUGCUAGUAUACCCUAAACCUAGGAAGGGUGGCUGUGGUGCGCCACGCUUUCUAACGCAAAUAAUAAUAACAUCUAAAUUUCAUGAGAGUUUGGUGUCCCUGUUCUUAAUUCUAAAAAAUAGAAUCUCUCAAAUAAGAAUAAUAAAAUAAAAUAAUCUUAAGUCUCGUAUGCGAAAUUGAGUUUUUGUGUCAAAUUUUUUGUGCAAUUUGUAUAUUCGUUAGUUUCCGACUCAUUGAACAAAUAAUUGUAUUUAUAUAGAAAUGAUAAAUUAAGUAAAAUAUGUCAAUUAAGCAUAUUAUCAUCUAUAUAUUAUAAUAUUAACUAAUUUGACUAUCACUUAAAUAUAUAUUAUCUACUUUAUUUAUCUUUUGAAAUAUAUAUAUAUAUAUGUAUGUAAUACCCAAUUGGUGCCCGGGGCCCAAACUUAAUACAAACCCAAAUACAACACUCAUCCCAAAUACUUUUAAACCCAAAAAAUGGCCCAAAACACAAUAGUUCAACAUUUGCCCAAUACCCAGCCCUAACAAUUUUCAACAAAAGAAACCCUAGGCAACUUUCAUGCCUCAGCGCCGCGGCUGCACACCCCACGUCGUGGUUACCGUCUCACGUCGCAGCAACUCCAGCACGUUCUUCCUGCAGCAAACAACAAAUUACAGCCACGAACAAUAGUAGAAAAAUGUAAGGAAAACUGUGAAAAAGGAGCAGCAGUUUUUUGGCUCUCUUAUUUCGGCGAUUAAAGCCAAAUAGGAAUGGGUAAAAAGGGGGGCAAAAAUAUUGUAUACAGAUAUAUUGGAAAGAAGAAAAAGAAUAAAAAAGCAAUUUUGAAGGUAAUCAGGGGUUCCAUUUUUUUCUUUUUUUUUCUGUCUUGUUUUCUUUAUUUUCUUUCUUGUUCUUUAAAACAAAAAGAAACAAAGAGAAAGAGAGAAGGCUCUUACCAGAAGAGGUGCGCCGUUGACAUUGUUGCUUGAUUUCGGUGUGAGGAGCAAAGGAGAAGAUGAAGCAGCCCUUGUGGCUGCUGUUGCUAAAAAUGAAAUGGGGUUUUAAUUAGGUUUUAAAAUGGGUUUUAAACAUUGAUGGGUUAUUUACGUCUUUAACCCUUUCAUGUUUUCCAUCAUUGCAAAACCAUUGUUUUUUUGUCUUCAAAUUUUUCCAUGACAUAUUAAAUUUGUAUAUAUUUAAAUGUUUUCGUAUGUUACAAUAUUUAUAUGCUUAUACAUUAUAUAUAUAUAUAUUAAAUGGAUUUAAAUACAUAUACAUAUCUUUUAUAUUUACUAUUAUUUUAUUUUCAUAGUUUUAUAUAUGUAUAUAUCUAUACGUUUAUGUUUUAUAAUAUUCAUACAUUUCCCAUAUUUUAUAAUUCAUACAUUUAUAUAUAGUUUUUUAUAAUAUAUAUAUAUAUAUAUAUAUAUAUUAUUCAAAACUGUUAUAAAUACAUUUUUCACAUUCGUUUUAUAUAUACCUACAUAUACAUGCUUUCAAAAUUUAUUAAUAUUUUUUAUAUACUUUUACUUUUAUAAAUACAGGUACAACUUUUAUAUUUUAUUUUCAUAAUUUUUGUAUAAACAUAAUUUAAAUUAAAAUAUUUGUCCCAUAUCGCAUUGACAUUUUUAAUACAUGUUUUAAAUACAUUUUGAUUUUGUCAAAAUAUUAAAAUUAUUUUUAUGAUUCAAAAAUUUUCAAAAUAAAAACAAUAUUCAAAGUUAGGAAUUUUCGAGGAAAAUUGAGCCCUAACGUAUUGGGUUCCGAUUUUCUUUGUUAAUUCCAAAUAACCGAGAAUAUUCGUUAUUUAAAAUAUAAACAAAAAUUAUUUUCGGGAAUUCGAUAUGUUAUGUCCUAAUGCAUUGGGCAUAACAUAUUAUUUUUUUUCUUUUUUUUUUCGAAAUAAAAUUUUUUCUUUAAAAAAAUAAUUAAAAAGAGAUAUUCAAAAUUCGGGGAUUUUGAGAAAUUGUACCCUAACGUAUUGGGUCUCAAUUUCUUCACAUGACUUGAAUAAUUGAUUAUCCUUUUUAGAUUUCAAAAUUUGAGUUUAACAAAAUCUUUUUAAUUUUCGACACUAAGACAUUAAACAAUCAAUUUGGUACCGAUUUUUGGGCGUUACGAGGGUGCUAAUCCUUCCUCGUGCGUAAUUGACUCCCGAACCUCUUUUCUCAAAUUUCGCAGGCCAAAAUUGCUUUUAAGGUGAGCCGAUCACACCUCAAUUAAGGAUCGGUGGUGACUCCAAUUUUUGUUUUUAAAGUCGAGAACUAAAUUUUGUUUUCAAAAAAAUGGUUUCGACAGCUUGGCAACUCCGCUGGGGACUUUAGAGAGUCGAGCCAUAAAUUGAUUAUAUUUGUCUUUGUGUCGAAAAUCAAAAGUUUUUUUUAAAAAAAAAUUCAUGAGUUCCCUUCGCACUCAUUGAUGUUUUAUCAUGGUAUUUUGGCAACUUUGCAUCUGCAUAUUGCAUUACAUAAUCGCUUGAUUAUUCCCUUCUAAGUGGGAGUGAGAAGCUACUCCUUCGUGAGGUUUUCACCUCCGUGCAGGAUAGUGGAUCACUUUCGGGAUACAUCCGUACCUAUGUCUUCAUGAGAUUUUCAUCUCCGUGCAGCCAUAGGGAAAUGUAUCCCCCUGAACUGAAUUCGGUCUGUAUGAGCCUAUAAUGGGUGAGGAUCGAGGAAUCUGCUGGUUCAGGUACCCUUGCCCUAGAAGCCAAACCUCAUAUAGUGAACCUUAGGAACCCACCCUAGGUAGAAUUACUUUGAGCCUCAGUAGACACCUAAUUAGGAGUUUUUACUAUUUAUUGGUUGUAUUGCAUUUAAUUGUUACUGACUUUUUGUGUUUUAUUCUGAUUACAUGGCAUUCCAUUAUAAAGAGGCGUUGUUUCGUAUUCGGUUGCUAGACAGAAAGUUUAUCAUGGGAAAUGAGUUUCUUGAUAAAGUGGAAGAUAAUACGGCUGCCUGAAUAUAUUCCAAGAAACGCAAGAAGGGUGAUGGAAGAAUACAUGACUUUACUUCGUGCCUCAAGGUCAAGUUGAUUAUUCAAGAGUUUCUGACAUUCCAACUGCCUUAAAGAAGCUGAGGAGCAUUACGGGGAUGGAUAGACGUUGGACCAGGAUCAAGCAAAAAGGAGGUAGAGGAGAUACCCCUUUUGAAGAAUUCGCAAGAUUUAUCUUAGCAUCCAGAUGAAGAAGGAGAAUAUGUCUUCUCCUGGAGUAUGAGGGCAAAGACGUAUAUAUAUCCGCUUUAUGUAAAGAAAUUUAUCUUCUAGUAAAGUUCGAACAGUUCCAAAAAGAAAUGCAUGAGCAACUUCAGCAGCAGAUGCAGGAGCAGCUCGAGAAGGUUCAAGAGAAAAUGAUGGAUAAAAUGAUGGAAUCUCAAGGAAGUAUGAUGACAAAGUUAACGCAGUUGUUGACAGAAUGGAAAAAUAAAGGAAAGAGCCCCAUGGCCAAUGUUGAGGAGGAAGGUGAUGACGGACCCUUGUAUCCUCCAGGCUUUAAUCCCCCAGAUGUACAGCCCCAAGUGGAAAUGUACCCUCGUAAAUCUUCUGUUACCAUUAGGCCUCAGCAAUUUCAGGCCGAUGCUUCAAAGGCGAUGAAUUACCAAACUAGAUCAGGCUCUAGCCCUGAGAAUAUCCCCGUCAAUCUUGUAGUCCCUGACUUCGAUGAGGUGGUCGAAAAGGAAAAAGCAAAGGAAGAAUUGCGAAAGCAAUUGGAAGAAAUGUGGAAAUGGGUCGAAGAGAAGUUCAAGGCGAUGGAAAGUACUGAGAGAUAUGGUGGGAUUGAUGCUAAAGAUCUGAGUUUGGUACCAGAUUUGGUGCUACCUCACAAGUUCAAAAUGCCAGAAUUCGAGAAGAAUAAUGGGACCUGUUGCCCUGAGGCCCACAUUACCAUGUUUUGUAGACGAAUGACUGGGUAUGUCAAUAAUGAGCAGUUAUUGAUACACUAUUUUCAGGAUAGCUUCAUGGGAGCAGCGUCUAAAUGGUAUAAUCAAUUGAGCCGUGCUAAGAUUAGUUCCUGGAGGGAUUUGGCACAGGCUUUUAUGAAGCAGUACAGUCAUGUGGCAGAAAUGGUUCUUGACAGAAUUACUUUGCAAAACAUGGAGAAGAAGUCGAAUGAAGGUUUCAGGCAGUACGCUCAGAGAUGGAAGGAGGUUGCAGUUCAGGUCCAACCACCGCUCCUUGCAAGAAAAAUGGUGAUACUCUUUAUAAAUAUGUUGAAGGCCCCAUUCAUCACACAUAUGUUGGGAAGUGCCACAAAAGGCUUUUCUGACAUAGUUAUGAGUGGUGAGAUGAUUGAGAGUGCUAUUAGGAGCGGAAAGAUUGAUGCUGGAAGAAAUAACAGAAAGUAAGCCCCAAAGGAAAAAGAAAAUAAGGUGAACAGCGUGAACACGUACAGCAAAUCGAUUAUGGUGAAUCAGCCAGGAAAGGUGGUUACUAAUCAGCAAGGUUCAUCAAAACAAGAAUCAGGUGUGAAGCCAGGUACUGAGAAGCUCCAGUUCACACCAAUUCUGAUAUCCUAUAAGGAGCUGUAUCAAAGCUUGUUCGAUGCGCAUGUUGUUGCUCCUCAUUACUUAAAACCUCCACAACCUCCGUAUCCUAAGUGGUAUGAUGCGAACGCGCAAUGUGACUACCACGCGGGAAUUACGGGGCACUCAAUAGAGAAUUGCAUUACCUUUAAAAAACUAGUUGAAAAAUUCAUCAACAUGGAUAUUGUCAAGUUGGGUGACUCAUCUAAUGCAGAAAAUCCGCUACCCAAUCAUGAUUGACAAUAAGGUGAAUGCGAUGUAUGAAGAGAUGUGGGGAAGCGUUCACAUCAAUGACAUGUAUGAAGACACAACUGAAGAAAGGGCCUUGUUAGAUGUCUGCCUUUAUAAAUUUGAGAGUGUUCUAAGCAAUUUGGAUUGCGGAAGAGACCCCUGUAGUUUUUAGAGCUUAUUUAGAGUAAUGUUCGGAUCAUUUUUGUUGUUUUUAGCCUAAAAAUAAUAGAAAUUCCUUUGUGAAAUAGGCUCAUGUCUGAACGUCAUUAUUCUAAUGAAAUGCAUCCUUGCGAUUAUUUGUGAACUAAUAUUCUUUCAGUCUGUCUGAAUAGUUAUUCUUUCAUUCUUUUGGAUUUUCUUCCACAUCAUUCAUUCAUUCAUAAUCAUAUUGUACAGAUAGUUCUUCAUAAAUUUAUACAUUCUUUUGUAUAUUCUUUGGUAUUUAUUAUGGGCCCCCAGUUAUCAAUGACAUGAAUGACACUACUACAUGAAAUUAUAUUCUUUAAUUCACAAGGUGAAUAAAUCUACAGUAUCACUUAUACAUAUUAUCCCAAGCUUAGUAGGAUUUUAUAUAACUUUAACUCUUCAUAAUUUCUUUAUUUUCAUUUGCAUUUCUUUACUUUCCACGCUUAUUCCAUAUAUAUGCAUGACACACAAGUCAUAAACAUAUCAUUCAACCAUGGUUACAAGCUAGUGCAUUUAACCAAAGCCUUUUUCGAAUUGAUCACAUGAUAAGGCAUUUCAUAAGAAAUUGCAUAAUUUAAACCUUACCACUUUUUUAUGAGCACUAGUAUAUUUUCACUUAAAUACUUACCAAUUCAAUGCAUUAUAUAAAUAAUAAUUCAACCAAUAGCCUGACACUUGCCUAAGCAUCAAGCAGCAACACCGGUUAGUGUCUUUGCACACAUUACAUAUAAACUCAUCAUGCAUAAUUUUCUUGUAUCAACAUAUUAAAGAUAAUCAUACAUUCACAUGUCAUGAUACAUAUCAUUCUCUUAUCGUUUCUUCAUAGGCAUAUAUCAUUCAUUUCAUUAUUUCGAUAUUUCAUGUACCAUCAUUUUCAUGAAUUUCGCGUACAUACCGAUAAUAGUUCAUUUCAAACUCAUGUUAUCUCACUUCAGAAAUUUGCCCGUUAUAUCAUUUAAAUAUCAAUGGUUACAUUUAUUUCAGAUCAAUACCAAUAAUAAUCUAUAAAUGUUUCAAUUCAAUCACAUAAGUCUUUUACUGUUUCUUUCUAAAUCAAAGAACGACUUACAGAUAUGAGUACAUCGUUCUUUUUAUGCCAUAGUCCAACUAUGGUCUUACACAUGCAUUGCCAUGGCCCUGCCAUGGUCUUUCAUUAGUUAAUAUCAUAUACUAUCACAUUGAGCCAUUAUUUAUCUCAUGAAUAUUUAGUUCAUGCUUUCUAAUCACAUUUUCAUAUUCAAUUCACAUUUUCAAAUUAUAUUCCACAAUCACGUUUCUUUUCAAUGGCUCAACUGAUUCAUUUCGUUCAAUUUAACUUUUCAAUUAAUCAACCCUAUUAACAGACUCGGACUUUGACGGAUACAAGGAUCCAACCCAAACACACCAGUACAACAUAUUGUGCCUAAAACGGUACAUAGUACCUGAUUAGUAAUCAGUAAUGGUAGCAGUAACAGUAACAGUAACAGUAACAAUAUUCAACACACAAAGUGCUGAAUCUAUAACAGUAACGGUAACAGUAUUCGACACACAAAGUGUCGAAUUGGUAACAGUAACAGUAGUCGGCAUAUAAAUGCCUGAUUAGUAAGCCGGCAAAAACUUGUACUCUUCCAUAUCCUAUGGCAUGCCAACUAUAUCUGACUCAGCCCGACUAGUUAAUAGGGUAUUAAAUUCACUUUUCAAUACAAUUUCCAUCUUAAUUCAGUAUCAAUUAUAAUUCCUUAUUUCAAUCAAUUUCACAGUAUUGCAAUAAUUCAUUACUUCAGUAAUUUCACAGUUCAAUGCAGUACACAUAACAGUAUUCAGUAACUUCACAAUUCAAUUCAGUACUCAAAAACAAUAUUUAGUAUUCCAUAAUGCAGUUCAGUAUCAGUCUCACUUUCAAUACCCAAUCAUAAAUUUUCAUUUGAUUCAAUUUCACAUUUCAAUCGAUAUUUCAUUCAAUUUCGAUAAGCAAAUUCACUUCCAACAUCAGUAUCACAUAUCAAUUUCCUCUUUCUCAAUUCAAUUCCAAUAAAAUCCAUAUCAAUCACCAAUUUCAAUAUUCCAGUUCAAUACCACAAUAGUUCAAUAGUUCAAUUCAAACCAUUUCAAUUUCUAUUCAAUAAUCACAUUUCAAUUUCACUUUCUUAAUUCAAUAUUCAUCUCAAUUAGUCACAUAUAAUCACAGUUCAAUCUAAUUUCAUUCAAUUCAAUAUCAAUACUUAAUUUCAAUAAUCAUAUUCACUUGAAAUCAACUCCAUUCAAAACAAUGUUAUCAUACCAAAUUUCUUACCUUAUUUAUUUACCAUGCUUUUCAAUUAAAACACAAUAAUUAAUAAUAAUUAGAUUUUAAAUACAGUAAUACAAACUUAUUAGGCUAAAUUGUAGAAAUACUAAAAAUUUAGGGACAUUUUGGUAAUUUUUCAUUUUCCUCGAAUUUCCACCCAAUCUUGAUCUAAAUCAAUAUUUCAUUCAAUUUAUUAAUUAAAACAAUUCAUUUCAUGCAACUUGGUCUUUUUUGAAUUUUUACAAAAUUACCCUAAAAUUUUACUUUUAUUCAAUUUAGUCCCAGAACCUAAAACAUGUAAAUUAGCUAUUUUUUUUAAAUAAACUCAUAUUAGCUGAAUAUUCACAUAUAUUUUUCCUCCUCCUCCAUUCCAUUCCACAUCCUUGAUAUAUAACACACUCAAUUAUCAUUAUCCAAAAUUUCACUAUUUGCUCAUAUGUAAAUUCAAAGUUGUUUAUUUGAGUCAGAGUCACUAAAUUAUUUAUAACUCGAGGUACAGGACUCAAAAUUAAGAUCUGUUAAUUUUCCCUAAAACUAGACUCACAUAUCUUAUUACCAUAAAAUUUUUAGAAUUUUUGGUUUAGCAAAAUAUUACAUUUUAUUCAUUAAAGUCUCCCCUGUUUCACUGUUCAAUAAUUCCAACCACUCUUCACUAAAAAUUAAUUAUCUCAUAGUACAGAAUUCGUAUAAUGUUCUUGUUUGUUUCUUUUAAAAAUAGACUCAUUCAGGAUUUUAAACAUAUAAAUUUUAGCCCAUAAUUAUUUUUUUAAAAUUUUUUAUGAUUUUCCAAAAUCAGAACAGGGGAGCCCGAAUUCAUUCUGACCUUAUCUCACAAAAUUUAUUAUAUCUCAUGAUUUAAAAUUCCAUUACUUACACCGUUUAUUUUAUAAGAAACUAGACUCAAUAAUAUUUAAUUUCAUAUUUUUUUCAUCUUCUAAUUCGAUUUUCAUGAUUUAUUGUGAUUUUUCAAAGUUAACCUACUGCUGCUGUCCAAAACUGUUUUAGUGCAAGAUGUUGAUUACUAAGUUUAUAAUUCUCUUAUUUCCUUCCUCUAUAAUAUUUCCCAUCACUUUCACUUAUUUCCUUUACUAACAUAACAAGAAUAUAGAGCUUUAUAUAAUGAAACUCUACAUUAACAUUAAUUUCCUACUUUUUCAAUAUUAUCAAACUCAAAAAUAUAUUGAAAUCUUGAUGUUCUUACAUUGUGUUAUUGAUUUCAAUCUUUAACUUGAUUUUCUCUCUCCUACAGCUUCUAUUUCUUGAAUCUAACUUGAUAUUCUAGCUCCCCAUAGUCUCCUUGUUGUCUUUCUCUCUUGAUGGCUAUGGAAAUUCUUUUGAUUUCUAGGUGAAAAUGGUAAAUUUUUUGUGAAAGGACCAAAUUGUAAAGAAAACAAAACUUUCUUUCUUUCUCUCUUCUUCUCACGUUGGAUGCAUGGGAAGAUGAUGAUUUCUUUCAUCCUUUUUAUAUUAAUAAUUUAAUAAUAAAAUAAUACUAAAAAUCUUAAUAAAAUAUUAAUUAAAUAACAUUUAUCUAAUUAAUUAAUUAAAAAUAUCACCAACAUAUCAUUACCUUCUAGAGUUCUCUCUCUAAUUGACCAUUUUGCCCUUCAUAAUAUUUUAAAAUUUCAACCUUGAGUCAUCACUUAAUUUGGUAAAAUUACAAUUUAGUCCCUUAAAAUUCUUCACCUUUUCAAUUUGGUCCUAAAUUUUCUUAAUUUCUAGAUUAUUCCACCCAUAAAAUAUUUGCACUAUUGGUCCUUCAAAUUUUUCAUAUUUACACUUUAUCCCCUCAAAUUUUGAGUAUUUACUUUUGGUCAACAAAACUUUUCUCACUUUUGCGAUUUAAUCCUUUCUUGAAUUAAUAUGUCAUAAUAUACUUCCCAGUGUUGCCAUAACUCAAAAUUUCCCUUUUUGUCACUUUAUUUCCUUAUUUUACUAUAUCAAGAAUAUCUACUUUCUUACUGUAGUAAUUUUCGGGGUAUUACAUAAAACACUUGAAUUAAACUGUAAACAUGUGUGUACCUACCAUGUAUAUAACAUGAAUCUUAUGCAUUAUAAAGCAAAUAGUGUCAAUAAAAUUUAGAAGGGCUAUUUAUUUUAACACAUUAUAUCCAAGCUGUCCACAUAAUAGGUACAUACAUAUUUAUAAUUUAAUCCAAUUGUUUUAAAUAUAUCUCAUGUCAAAUUUGAAUUGACUUUUUAAUGCUCAAACUAAUAGCUACAUUAACGGAAAAACUUAACUAAUACGAUUUUAAUACAUCAAGGGCUCAAUUAAAAUGUCUUGAAAUUUGAAAACCAUUUCAAAAUCAUAAUCAUAAUUUUGAUGUCAUCCGGCGAGUUUAUAAAUUUAGUGUUUGGACAAUUUAUUGUGGAUUUAUAACAACUUAGAUGUUAUUAAUUACAUUUCACGAAUAAUUUUUCUUCAAUUAAAUGUUUUAUAUUGCGUCGAUUGAGUCUUAUCUAGAUUGACAUCGAUAUUAUUGUCAGUACAAGAGAACGUGGAUUCGAGUGCGCUAAAACGUAUUAUCCUCUUAUUUAAAGGUCAGGGAGGGGUUAUGGGUAGUUUUAGGUAUUGUAUAAAAAAGAACAACUAUGAUAAAUAACCUAUAAUGAGACUAAUGUUAAAAAAAAUGGCUUAGAUCACAAAGUAUACUAUAAAUUUUUUUAUUGUGAUGAUAUUAAGAAUAAUAUUUUGGACAAAUCCCUAGAAUUUAUCUUUUUUAUUGAAAAUUAGUAUAAUUUUCGGACCAUUCUUUGCAUUCAGUUACUUAUUUAUUUGUGUUAACUUACAGAGCAAAAAUUUUAAGGUUAAAAUUUAUUUUAAGUCACUAUACACUUCAUAUAUUUGGAAUUUAGUCACCUUACUUUUAUUUUAGGAAUUUAGUCCCUUUAUUUUUUGGACUUAAUUAUUGCUAAAAUUCUUCUAUUAAAUUAUCUGACGUGAAAUUUUAAAUUUUUAAAAAAAUUCACUUAAUAAUAAUGUAACAAUAAAAAUAAUGCUGGAAAUAUAAAUUAGGAUUUUUUUUCUUAAAAACACUCAUUUGAACUUGUCAUGAUAAAAAAUAUAAUUUUUUUUGUUGGAAUAGUGUUCUUAAAAAAAAUUGAUGUUAACAUUUAAUUGAAAAUUAACAAUAUUAACUAUUUAAACUAUUUAAUAAUAUUAUAAAUAUAUAAGAAUGAAAUUAUGUUAUAAAUUAAUUUAAAGAAAUUUUGGUAGGUUCAAACCUUUUAUAUAUAGGUAUAUAAAUUUAAAGAAUGGACUGUCAUGUUGCAUUAUGGUAAUCUUUAAUUCAGCAAAUUACAAAUUAAUAACAAAGUAUUUAAUAUAAUUUUUUGUAUAUUUUCAUUUUUUGCUACUUUUCAUCAUUUUUUAAUAGUUUUUUACAUGCUUUCUAAUUUUUUUUAUGCUUUCACAAUUAAGUUUAGAAAAUAAAAAUAAAUUUUUGGUAUAAAAAAUAUUACUUUUAGGUACUAAGAAAUUUGGUUGAGAUGAACAUACAAAAAUAUUGUUUUUGCAUACUAAUAAAUUUAUUUAUAUACAAGGAUAAAUUAACAAAUAUUGAAAAAUAAAUAAGUAAAUUAAUCAAAUUUUCAAGUUUCAAUUGGUAAUAAAUUGCUAAAUCGAAAAUUUGACACGUAUAAUUUUUAUUAUCAUGAAUUGUUACACGGGCUGUCACAUUAGUGUUUAGUAAAAUUUAGAGAUUUAAGAUCAAAGUGAUACAAAAAUUAAGAGUAAAAGUGAGAAAAUAAAUAAAGGUUAAAUUAAUUAUUAUAAAAAAACAUUAAAAAAAGAAAUCAAUUACAUAGUUGAAUAUAAACAUGAUUAUGACAAGGUUGCCACUACGGAGAAGUCUAUGUAAUUGUCUGAAUUCCUUGUAGUUUGGUGACAUCCAUAAGCGGAUGACUCCGAAAAGUAGGGCAAAGGGGAUAGCAGCGGUUACAUUGGCAAGAAUAUAAUUAACGUCUACCCAAAACGACGAGGGUGAUAUUAUUGUCAUCGAAUAAAAGUAGGAGACGCUCAGAUAAUAAAGCGGGAUCAGGAGUAAACGAGGAACAUUGGAGAGGAGAAAAACUGUUAGAAGAACCGGCAAGCCAUAUGCUAUAAGAUUAUAAACCCAAAACCCAUAAUACAUGUCGGGAUUCAUCACUGUUGUACCGGUUUUCCUUGUUUCUUCACCCAACAGGUGUUUGAAUCUGGAUUUAUUGUAAUUGUCGUCUAAGAUUUGAAGAGUAUUUGAGUUGGUGGUGGGGAUACUGUUAUUAUCACCUUGCCAAACACCUCUCGGUGGGCUUAAAGAUGAUUGGUAAACUGCUGUUAUAACUAGCGUCGCAACCACCAACGUUGCGUUGAUCAUGUCCCCCGACAACCCGUUUCUUGCACGAACCAACAUUGUUAAUCUUCUUUUAUGCCAAUGGGUUCCUUUCUUAAUGUGUUUAAUCUUGGUGGCGGUGGCGUCACUCAUGUUCAAACCUCUUCUUUCGACCUUUUCUAUGAUUUCUCGACUUGUUAAACCAUCUGAGUUCUUAGCUGUUACGUCUAAGUAUUUCCCGACAUAUAAUAACAUUUUUAGUGCCUGCGUAAUUAAUAUAUUAUCACACUAUUAGAUAAAUAUAUCAACAGCUAGCAUAUAUAUAUAUAUAUAUAUAAAGGGAAAUUAGUAUACCUGGUGUUGUUCCUUUAUAGCUGCAAUGUGUAACACAGUGUUGCCAUCAUCAUCUCUCCAAUUGAUAACCUUCUUUUCCAAUUCAUUGGCUCCUCUACGACGAUUACUUUGAAGCCAUCCGGUUAAGAGAUUAAACGCUUCGAGGUGAUCGUUUUUCAAAGCAAGAUGUAACGCAGUCUCGUCUCGAACCGUCACAUCUUCAAUGCAUUCAGGGCAAGCUUCGAGGAAGUGGAAUAAAAGAUUAGAGUUCCCCAUUGCGGCUGCACAAUGGAAAGGAGUCAUCCCUUCCCUUCCUUUGACUCGAACCAGAUCUUUAUCGGUCUUCAAGAGUCGAAGCAGUAGCUCGGUGUGGCGGUUUCUGAAGGCCAAGUGCAUGGGGCUAAAUCCAUCUUGGCUUAGCUUCCUAGCAAACGAAGGCUUCAAGUUCAUCAUCUCCAUUGCCAGCUUAAUUUGGCCUUCAGUUGCAGCUAUGUGAAGUGGAGUAUCAAUGAAAGGAAUGUGGUCAAUGCGCUCCAACAUGUACGGAUCCUUUUGAAUUAAAGCAUAAAAGGCAUCAAUAUUUCCUGUUGCAGCUGCUUCUCUCAAGCUAUCAUUCAUGCUCAUCUCCUUGACUUGUAAAAUAACAUACCACCAAUGAUCCUUAUUUAAAACAUUAUAAAGUACGUCCUAAUUGCUUGACUUUUACGUAAAGAGUGAUUUAAAGAAUAGAAUAAAUUAAAUAUUAAGCAAGGAAUAGAAUAAAUUACUCUUAGAAGUAAAAGUUGUUUGUAUCCACCGCCACAAUUACUCUUCCAUAGUGAGAAAGAGUAGAAUAACACAGGUAAUAGAUUUUAUUCUAUUUUUAUUUUUAGAAAUUUAACUUCUUUAUUUUUUAAAUUUAAUUGUUAUUUUUUUUGUUAUAUUUAGGUUCGUUACAACUCUAAAUUUUUGUUUCAUUGCUACUAAGUGAAUAAUUUUCUUUUUAUUUCAAAAUGUCACGAUAAUGAAUUUAACAGAAAAAAUAUAGUUAGAGUUAACAAUUAGACUUGAAUUUUGAAAUCUAAAAUAUAGAAAGACUAAAUUUUUUAAAAUAAAAAUAGAGGCAUUAAACUAUAAAUAUAUAAAGAUUACAGUGAUUCAGAGCAUAUUUUAACUCAAAUCCAACUCUUUUAUUAUUAUUAUUAUUAUGAAAUUAGAUUUACGUUUCCAAAGAGUGAAUUUGAUAAUUUUAUUAACUAUGCAGGCACUAAAGCUGUUGUUAUAUUCCAAUGUUGGGUUACAUGUAACAGCUAAUAACUCGGAAGGUUUGAUGGCUCGAGAAAUCAUAGAAAAUGUUGAAAGAAAAGGCUUGAGCAUGAGUGGUGAAGAUGAUGACAAGAUUAAGCGCAUUAAAAAAAAACUUGAUACCCUUGAACUGAUAUUAGUAAUGUUAAUUCGUGCAAGGAAUGGAUUGUCGGAGAACAUGAUCAACGCAACGCUGGUGACUGUGGCACUGGUUAUAACAGCAAUCUACCAAUCAUCUUUAAGCCCACCCAGAGGUGUUUGGCAAGUUGAUAACAACAGUAUCCCCACCACCACCUCAAACGUUACUACUACUGCUCUUCAAAUCUUUGACGACAAUUACAAUAACUCCAGAUUCAAACACCUGUUGGGUCAAGAAUCAAGGAAAACAGGUACAACAAUCAUGAAUCCCGACUUGUAUUCAAUGUUUUGGGUUUGUAAUCUCCUGACAUUUGAGCUUCCGCUCCUCUCCAAUGUUCCUUCUUUUCUUCUCAUCCCGCUUUAUUAUCUAAGCGUCUCCUACUUUUACUCGAUGACACUAAUAUCCCCGUCGUCGUUCUGGGAAAACGUCAAUUAUAUUCUCACGUGGUUAGCCAUUCUUUUCCCACUUCGCUUACUUCGCUUAAUCAUACGACCACUUAUGUCACCAGCUUACAAGGAGUACAUACGCUUCCGUAGAGCUAUUCUUAGAGCCAACAAAGUCGGGAUCAUCCGACCCUUGCUAAGGGGUAAUCUAGUUGAUAUUAUAUUAUGUCCUUGAUUUUUUUUAAUUGAACUUCUUUUUCUUUUUGUUUAUGUAAUUGCUUGGGAUAAAUUUAAUAAAUAAAAUUACAUCAAUAGUCUUUUAAUUUUGUUUGUACUUAUGUUUCAAUCACUAAAUUUUUAAAAAUUAUAAAUUUAUUAUUAAUGUGAUCGGAUUGUUUUUAGAAUAACACGGGUUUGAUGUGAAACUUUAAAUAUGUCAUAUAUGUUUAAAAAAAAUUCCUUUCUCUCUUUUUUCGGAUAUUAAAAUAUUUCUUCUUCUCACCUUAUCCUAUCUUCUCUUUUUUCUUUCUCCACCAUUAAUGCUCUCACCACCUUACUAUUGCCAGUACUCACCACUAUCAACAAUUUCACCAUCUCACCACAACCAAACAUGAACCAACAACCGACUUUACCCAUAAUUAUACUCAUAAGGUGUUUUUCUCUUCCCUUUAUGAAUAUAAUUGGUUCGAUUUUUUGGUUCAAAGAAGGUUCAAACAAUCAACACUCAAACAGUCAAUAGACUGUCGGAUAGAUCACGUGCAAAACCAACCUAACCUAUGAGUAUAUCCAGAAGAGAAAAGUUAUACAAGUCCAACCCCCCACAAGUUCCCAGUCGGCUCAUCCCAUUGACCUUUCCACACCUUCGAAUUGAUUGGUGCAAUUGGAAUUGCAUUGCCAAAUGUAACACAUGAAGCUCAAGUGCUGACCAUCUACUAGAGGUGGACCAAGGCCCUCGAAGAGCCACCAACGUUGACAUCGCCUCCAGACUUGAUUGUUAUUAUUAUAUUCUUUUCAAAUUAUUUUAGUUGUUGUUUAGAAUGGAUCGUGACUAAAUUUUAUUAUGUAAAUAAAGUUUUGAAAAUUAUAUUGAACUUAGAAAGAAGUUAAAUUAUUCAAGUGAAAAAACGUUAUUUUGUAAUAGUGCAUUUGAUUGUAAAAUCUUUUUGUUCUAAUUUUAUAGACUAAAUUCUCAGGAGGAUAAUUUAGCAGUGAUAGAUCUAGUCUUCAAGGUACAAGAGUAAAGAUUUUAAACUGGGAUGUGUUAGAAUUAUGUUCAAUGAUUGUAAUUGUUGAAAGAUAGUGGAUUCUCCUCAUUGAAUUAGGCAUGCAUAGAGAAAUUGAAUUACGUAACCAACCUUGUUAUCCUCUAUUUUAAUUUUGGUAUCUCAAUGCUUGCAGGAGUACGCACUUUUGCAAUCAUUUUUGCUCGUAAUUGCAUAAAUAACAUUAAUAUCUUUUUUUUGUCAUUGUUUCUUUUGAAUGGUAUGAUGAAAUAACUUUGUAUAACUUUAAAAUGUAAAUUUGAGGAUUUUAGAUCUUUUUGAUGUUUUUAGAUUUUUUUAAAUUGUUUUUUUAGAGUUAUUGUUUAAAAAUCUUAAAAGUAUUAAAAUAAAUCAUAUAAAAACAUGUUUAUAAUUCAUAUUUUUCACAAUGAACUAAUAAUUUGAUCAUACUUUAUUCUAAUUAUAAGGAUGUGAUUGGACAGCAUAUAAUAAUUAGAUGGAAGUGUAAUUAUUAAUGUAGUAACUAAUAAUGACACCCUCUUAUACUUCUAAAUCCCUAAAUAUUGUUUAAUUGAUAGAGUUUAAUUAUAUCCUAAUUCUUUAUAUUGUUUUUUGUAAUACAAAUUAUAAUUAAAUAACUAAAUACUUUUAAAUUCUAUAAUCAAACCAUCAUAUGAUAUGUUAAUUAAGAAAGUAUUCAACAAUACAAUUAUAAAUAAAAAAAACAUAAAAAAUAUUGUAUACAAUUUUAUCAAAUUGCUGUGGCAUUCUAUAUUUGUUGGGCUAUUUUCUUAGUAACAUUAAGCAUAUACGUAGGUCAUUUGCUAAGUAUAGAUAAUUAAUCAUAAAUAAUAUGUAUCAGAUUUUAAAUUAUUUAAACAAAAUUAGUAAAAUAACAAUAAUUAUAUUUUAAAAAUAUAUGUUAUAAAAUUAAAAUACUAUUAUUAUUGAAUAGAAAAACUUAAACUAGAAUCGUGUACUGGUGUAUUUAGAAAGUCAUGAUAUAAUUAGAUUUAAGCGUAAUUGUCUGUAAUUAGUUGCAUAAUUUCCACAAUUCUCACCCUCUCUAGGAAUUGAAAGAGUGUAAUUGACAACUUGGCUACCAAAAUCUGAAACAACAGUGACAGACCAAAUCCGUUACAGAUGUUGCGACUCCAUCACUGUUUCCAUUUGGUGACGGUUUGUGAUGGAUUUUUGUGACAUCGAUACCCCUCACUAGUAAAGUGUAUCAGUGAGUGUAUGAUGGAAGUAUCAUCACAAUUUUUGCAUAUUAUUUUUGAGUUUGCGAUAGUAUAUAAAAUAUCACCUCGUUCCGUCACAAAUUAUAAAUUCUGUCACUAACCAACCAUAACCUACUACAAAUGGGUUGGAAACCAGCAGAAAGAAAAUUAUAUUUCAUUUUCCAUAAAUAGAUUUAUUUGUUGUUUAUGGAGCCACUAGGAGGGGCGGCGGCGGAGGAGGAGUCGCCUAUUGUAGUUUUUAUAAUAAUUCAACACAUUCAGUCUAAUAAGCAAAAUUAAUAAUAUAAUAAUUUAAAGAAGAGCAAAACAAAAUCCACACCCAAUGAAAAAAAUCGCUUCUUUCUUUCUCCUUCGAAGAUUCCAAGCAAGUAUCCAGACAUUAAAAACAAAAGCCAAUAUAUAAUAAAAACAAAAAGUAUGGAUAUUGCUCCAAGUCAUCAACUUUGAAUAUAAAUCCCAUAAUAUUUACUUUUUUUAGGUAUUUAAAUAUUCUUCCGUUUUUUCAUUUAAAUCGAGCCCAUGGUUUUGGAAUACUUUCAUAUAGCCUUUUUUGGGGGUCAAAUCAAUCUGAAUUACUAUGUUUAUUUUACAAUAUUAUAUUUAUCUCCAAAAUUUUUAAAUACAACGAUUGAAAAAGUGUAGAAAAUAAUUAAUUUAAAAAAAGAAAAAGAAAAGAAGUAGCAAAUGUUGUAAAUGUUCCAUAUCUUCAAUUAUUUACCUGAAAAUUUGAUACCUUAUGUCAACAUUUGUUUUAUGAUCAAUAUAUAUCAAUACUUUUUAAAAUUAAAAUAUUCACCAAAGUGAUAAGAAUAUAUAUAAUCCAAAAUUUUAAACAUUUUUAUUUUCAAACUCAAUAAAUAAUAUAUUUUAAGCUAUUUUGUUAAUACUAAUUUCUUGAUAAAUAUGUUUUUAAAUUAAUUACAUUGAAAUAAUAGUUGGUUUAGUUUUUAAAUUCCACAAGCAAGAUUAAGGUUGCCUGUGAAAUAAAAAAUUAUUUUAAAAAAGAGACAUUUGACAAUUUUUAAGGUUGCUAGUGAUGGAAAAUCAAUCACACCACGUUUUUUUAAUUAAGUGUUAUAGCCAGUUUGUUGACUCCUAUUUUUUAGCAAGACUGUUAGACAAAUAAGUUUGUUUAAUCUUUAUGGGACUAUUCUGUUUUCAUUAGUCUGUUAGUAGAAAAUUUUACUUUCACGAUUUAAUUUCUCUGUAAACCUAUAUAAAGGCAUAAUUGCUGAAGUUAAUGAUAGUGAAUUGAUUUUGAUUAUUUUCCUCUCGUGUUAAUUAUUCCUUUAAAGUUUGUCAUCGGCGAUAUCAGAGCCAGGUUUAGAGUGUUUUGUGUUGUGUUCCAGAUACGAUGUCACAACAUUCGAGUGAAUCCGAUAGAUUUGUUCAACCUACUAUUCCUCGCUUUGAUGGUCAUUAUGAUCAUUGGAGCAUGUUGAUGAAAAAUUUCUUAAGGUCAAAAGAAUAAUGGUCUGUCGUUGAGGAUGGAAUCCAAGAGCUAGAAGUUGGAACCAGUUUGACAGAUACACAGAAGAUGGAGACUAAAUUCCUAGAAAUAAAAAUAUAUGGACUAAUUUUUAAAUUUAUGAAAAGUACAAGGACUUAUGACAUAUUUUAACAAUUUAUUAUGUUUAUACUAUAAUUUAAUUUGAAUAUUUGUUAAUGCCAAAAGGAUAAUAAUAACAUGACAUAUUAAUGAUAAUGAUGAUGAUGUGUGAAAAUAAAAAUACUUCACAUUUAAAUUGAUUAUAAUUAUAAUUUAUAUAUUUUAUAUAUCAUAAUAUUAAUGAAAUUGAGUUUAUAUAUUCUAUAUAUUAUAAUAUUAACAAUUUGAGUUUUUUAGUAUUUCUUAUGCAUUUAGUUUUGCUUUUGGAAGUGGUUUCAGGGAUGGUUUUGACAUCGUCCACUCCAGUUUAGUGGAUGUUCGAUUCUUUUGCCAAUUGUGUCUACUACUUAAGAUCAUCCGAGGUUAAUUUUCUCAUAGUGUUAAAUGUUUGCAAUUGCUCCAAAUAAUCAUACUUGAGUUGUGAUGGAGACGAUUGCUAACUUGCUAUAUAUUAUCGAUUUUAUAGCAUAAUAUUUAAAAGUAAAUUUUUACCGCCAUACUAAAAAUUUUAAAUAUUUUAAGAGUAAAUUUUUUUAAAGCGAAAAUGCUUCGAAAUUAUAUUAAAGUGAGAAAUGGGGAGUGGGAGUCAAGAUAUUGAUGUCUGUAAUAGGCGGCCAUAGAUUCAUAUCCGUCGUUAGAUAUAAAUAUAUUAAUCAUUUUUUAAAAUAUUCGAUAUUUUUAUGCAAUAUAAAUAUACCCUUGAGGGAUUAGUUUAGUGUAAGAUUGAGUUAAAUCAGUUGAGGUUUCAAAUAAGGAUAGUCAGUUUGCAACUCUCCUAAUUUCUUCAUCAUUUAAAGAAAGAAACAAAAGCAUGGAUCCAAGCUUGAGAGAAGUAGCUGGAACAGGAAAUAUUGAUGCCUUGUACUCUCUAAUUGGAGAGGAUCCAUACAUGCUGGAGCAUAUUGAUCAGAUUCCUUUCAUCGAUACUCCACUUCACAUAGCAGCAAAUAAAGGCCAAAUUAAGUUUGCAAUGGAGAUUAUGAACUUGAAGCCUUCGUUUGGUCGGAAGCUAAACCAAGAUGGGUUUAGCCCCAUGCACUUGGCCUUCAAAAUGGGGCAUACCAAGCUAGUGCUUCGACUGUUGAAGACCGAUAAAGACCUGGUUCGCGUCAAAGGAAGGGAAGGGAUGACCCCUUUCCAUUGUGCAGCUGCAGCGGGGAACUCUAAUCUUUUAUUCCAGCUCCUUGAAACUUGCCCUGAAUGCGUUGAGGAUGUCACGGUUCGUGACGAGACUGCAUUACAUCUUGCUCUGAAAAACGACCACACCGACGCUUUUAAUUUCUUACUUGGAUGGCUUCGAAAGAACCGUCGUGGAGGAGGCAAGGAUUUGGAAAGAAAGGUUGUGAAUUGGAGAGAUGAUGAUGACAACACUGCGUUGCACAUUGCAGCUACAAAGCAACAACACCAGGUAUAGAUGCAUUAUAAUGAUAAGUUGCGUAUAUUCCUUUGAUAAUCUUAUUAAUGACUGUUUAUAAUAUUCUACGCAGGCCGUGCAACUGUUGUUGGAUUCCUUUUAUGGGUUAGAUGUAAAAGCUAAGAACUCGGAAGGCUUGACAGCUCGAGAAAUCAUAGAAAAUGUUGGGAGACAAGGGUUGAACAUGAGUAGCGCCGAAGACGAUGAUAGGACCACCGCCAAGAUUAAGCGCAUUAAGAAAAGAACUAGUCGGUCUGAAAGAGCAUUAGUAAAGUUGAUUCGUACAAAGAAUGGGUUGUCGGAGAACAUGAUCAACGCAACACUGGUGGUAGCGGCGCUGGUCAUAACAGCGAUCUACCAAUCAUCUUUAAGCCCACCGAGAGGUCUUUGGCAAGGUGAUAACACUAGUAACCCCACCACCACCUCAAACCUUACUACUACCACUAAAUUUAAACUCUUUAACGACAAUUACGCUGAAAAACUUUCUAAACAUGUGUUGGGUGAAGAAACAAUGAAAACUGGUACGGCAAUCAUGAAUCCCAACUUGUUUUUAGGGUUUUGGUUAUUCAAUUUUAUAGCAUUUGGGCUUCCGGUUCUUCUAACCGUUUUCCUUUUAUACGAUGUAGCUCGUAUUCUUCUUCUCCCGCUUUAUUUUCUAUCCGUCUCCUACUUUAACUGCAUGACAAUAAUAUCUCCGUCCAUGUUUUGGGCAAACCUCAACUUUGUUGUCAUGUGGGCAGCCAUUAUUCUCCCGUCUGUCUUUGUUUUUGGAGGCGUAUGGUUAUGCAUGCUGCCAAAGUACCGGGAAAUCAGACAAAUGCGCAGACGUGUCCGCAAUGACAAUAAUAUCGGAAUAAUUCAGUACUUGCGAAUGUCAGUCUAACUUAUAUAUUAUAUUAUGUACCCUUUUCCAUUUUCUUUGUAUUAAUAUCUUUUCUUAUUGAAAAAAAAAAACACUAUGUAAUUGCUUUGGAUAAAUUUAAUAGAAAUAAGAUUACCUUUCCCGACAGAUAUAUUUGAAGUAUCGUUUGUUCAAAAUCAACUUAUUUCUAAAUGUGUUAAUAUUAUUUUCGAGUUAUUAAUUAAAAAUAUCUUUAACAUAAAGAUAUAUGUAAUAUAUAUAUAUUUUUAUUAUUUUGUUUAUAUAAUAAAAGAGUUAUUGAUUAAAAAGAUGAAUUAAAAAAUUAAAAAAUAAUAUAUUUAUUAAUUAAAAAGUACUAUUUUUUAAAAUAAUAUGAAAUAAAAAUACAAAUAUGAGUAAGAGAUAAAUUAAAACCGAGACUCAAAAAUAAAAUGACUAACAUUUAAUUAUUUGACCAAAUAAAUUAAUGUGUCAAGUUAUUGAAGAAAAUACAUUUUAUCCCCACAUUUCUUUCUCCAAAAUUAAUCUAUUUCUACAAAUAUUAAAAAAAUCAACCUUAACACUAAUUAUUUUCUAAAAAGGACAUACGUUGCGAGUAUGCCUUAAACCUAGGAAGGGUGGCUGUGGUGCGCCACACUUUCUAACGCAAAUAAUAAUAAUAAUAAUAAUAAUAAUAAUACAUUAAUCUAAAUUACAUGAGAGUUUGGUGUCCCCUUUUCUUAAUUCUAAACAAUAAAAUCUCAAAAAUAAGAAUAAUAAAAUAAAAUAAAAUAAUUGUAUUUAUAUAGAAAUGAUAAAUUAAGUAAAAUAAAUAAUAAAAAUAUGUCAAUUAACUAAUUUCACUAUCAUUUAAAUAUAUUUAUCUUUUGAAAAAUACUUUUUCUUUUUUAAACAAAGGGUGGACAUCAUCAAAAAUAACUUAGAAAAGUAGAAAUUGUAGCCGUACUAGAACAUUUUUCAUCUAAACAUCAGAAUAUUAAAAUGCUGAAAAACCUCCAAAUUUACCGUUCUCUACAUCCAUUACUAAUCGUAGACGGUGACAAAGACAUUCGACAGAUGAUAAGCAUAAAAAAAAUACUCUUUUAACUACAAUACUAAAAGCGUCCGCUAACCAUUUUUCAAUUAAGAUAUUAAUCAAGACGGAUUAAUUUAGUGUUAAAUAGAGUAAGUCUAGGGGUGGGUUUGGAUGGGUGAUUGGGUGCGGUGCGGUGCGUUUAGUUUACUUUUUGUCUCACGCUACAGUGUCUAAUCUCACCGCCACCGCUGUUUUUACACUAACCUCAAAUAAACCCACCGCCCAUCCAAACUCACCCUAGACUAAGUCCGUGGAUGAAUUUCCGCAUCUUUUUUUAGGCAUUAAAUUGAGAGCCAAUCAGAGCCUUCCCCUUACUACCAAUCUAUAAAAAAUUGGAUCUUUGGUUUGAUUUUAUCAAUAAAAGAAAUUCCUUCCUCGGUUUCUUAAAUUUGAUAACUUUUAUCAUUAUCAUUAUUUUAUUAUAUAAAAUAAUUUUGUUCACUUUUCAUCAAUAAUGAGAUCAAUUGUUUCGCUAAUAGAAUAGAAAAUAGAUAGUUACUCAAUAUUAUAAUGGUACCAUGUGUUUUUAUGUUUUUAAUUUUUAAUAUAAUUAAUGUUAUAACCCUCCUUAUGAAGCUAGUUAAUGUAAAGGAUAAUAAUUCUAAUUAUCUGUGCUUAAAAUUAAUUCAGUUGUGCUUUCAAUCAAUGUCUGAUUUUGAUAUUGCAAGAGGUGUCCAGCUAUGUGGUGAGAUCUUGAAGGUGUGUCUUUGUAACAACUUGAGAAGCUUUUUGGAUUUUUUUCUUCUUCUUUUAGGUUUAUUAUUAGUAAAUGAUUUUUUGCUGCGAAAAAUUAGCUUAAAAAUAAAAUAUAAAAAUGAUAGGAAAUAUAUGUUAAUUUUAUACAACGACAAUUAAUGACAUUGCAAUAUUACUUAACAACAUGAACAAUCCCCACCAUCGUAUUGUCAUUCCCAAGUAAUGGCGUAUUCUCUUUACUUGGAAAAUAUCCCUCCUAACGCUGGCCGAAAUUGGUUGAAACAUUAUGCAGCUAAUUUGGUAAGAUCAUGGACGUGUUUAUUGCAUCAAAAAGAAAUAGAAGAGGUCGUCGGUUUUGUUUCGUUAGGUAUGGUAGGCUGGAAGAAGCAAAGAGAGCAUUGUGGAGUCUAGAUGGAAGGUGGUUCUCUAAUCAUAGAUUGACGGUCAGUAUGGCGAAGUUUAAACCUAGAGAUGCUUUGUGGAGGAAGGCAAAUGGGAGAGAGGUCAGACAACAUACAUAGAAUAUGGAAAGAAGAUGUGUUGAAGGAAAUACGGGAUCGCAUGUAGAGAAGAAUGCAAGUGAGAUUAUGGCAAAUAAUAAACAACAUGAAGAAAAUGACCCAAUCAAGUUGGACGAGAUGGUGGAAGAUUUAUGAAUUUCCAGAAAAGAUAAGAGAACAAAGUAGUAGAGGGAGCCAUUGAUGGAGAGAACUUGAAGUGGCUUGAAAAAUGUAUUGUGGGUAGAAUGAGAAACAAUGCUACUGUGGGGUUAUGGGGUGAUGCUGGAAUUUAUAAAAUUGGAGUCCAAAGAUCAUCGGGUAAUGAUUGGUAUGAAUUGGAAGCCAAUGAAUGGGGAGAUGUUUUGCAAGUGUUCAGAAAGUUGAACGGUGGACAACGAAGAUGAAAGAUUAAGGUGGUUAUCCUGUUACGAGAUUCCAAUACAUGCUUGGUCUUCGAAGAUUUUGACGUACUGUAUAGGCGGCCACCGAUUUAUAUACCUCGUCAUAUAUAGAUAUAUUAAUCAUUUCUUAAAAUAUUCGAUAUUUAUAUUCAAUAUAAAUCUACCCUUGACGGAUUAAUUAGUUUAGUGUAAGCCUGGUUUAAAUCAGUUGAGGUUUCAAAUAAGGAUAGUCAGUUUGCAACUCUCCUAAUUUUUUCAUCAUUUAAAGAAAGAAACAAAAGCAUGGAUCCAAGCUUGAGAGAAGUAGCUGGAACAGGAGAUACUGAUGCCUUGUACGCUCUAAUUCGAAAGGAUCCGUACAUGUUGGAGCAUAUUGAUCAGAUUCCUUUCAUCGAUACUCCACUUCACAUAGCAGCAAAUGAAGGUCAAAUUAAGUUUGCAAUGGAGAUGAUCAACUUGAAGCCUUCGUUUGGUCGGAAGCUAAACCAAGAUGGGUUUAGCCCCAUGCACUUGGCCCUCAAAAUGGGGCAUACCAAGCUAGUGCUUCGACUGUUGAAGACCGAUAAAGACCUGGUUCGCGUCAAAGGAAGGGAAGGGAUGACCCCUUUCCAUUGUGCAGCUGCAGUGGGGAACUCUAAUCUUUUAUUCCACUUCCUUGAAACUUGCCCUGAAUGCGUUGAGGAUGUCACGGUUCGUAACGAGACUGCAUUACAUCUUGCUCUGAAAAACGACCACACAGACGCUUUUAAUCUCUUACAUGGAUGGCUUCGAAAGAACCGUCGAGGA